GGGGAUGUAGCUCAGUUGGCAGAGCACCUCGUUCGCAACGAGGGGGUCGCCAGUUCGACUCUGGUCAUCUCCACCA
Molecule: transfer RNA, 76 nt
Filed under: Candidatus Omnitrophota bacterium
Lineage: Bacteria; Pseudomonadati; Candidatus Omnitrophota
Description: tRNA-Ala
Rfam family: tRNA
About the family: Transfer RNA (tRNA) molecules are approximately 80 nucleotides in length. Their secondary structure includes four short double-helical elements and three loops (D, anti-codon, and T loops).
Source: RNAcentral